This 506-nucleotide ribosomal RNA is filed under the name uncultured bacterium. Its description in RNAcentral is "partial 16S ribosomal RNA". It matches the Rfam family "Bacterial small subunit ribosomal RNA", at positions 28 to 523 of the family's 1533-position model. The record is from RNAcentral.
GAUGAACGCUAGCUACAGGCUUAACACAUGCAAGUCGAGGGGUAACAAGGGGAAAGCUUGCUUUCCUUGUUGACGACCGGCGCACGGGUGAGUAACGCGUAUCCAACCUGCCUAUAACUAGGGAAUAACCUUGCGAAAGUAAGACUAAUACCCUAUGAUUUCCUUUGAUGACAUCAGAUUAGGAAUAAAGAUUUAUCGGUUAUAGAUGGGGAUGCGUCUGAUUAGCUUGUUGGCGGUGUAACGGCCCACCAAGGCAACGAUCAGUAGGGGUUCUGAGAGGAAGGUCCCCCACAUUGGAACUGAGACACGGUCCAAACCCCUACGGGAGGCAGCAGUGAGGAAUAUUGGUCAAUGGGCGGAAGCCUGAACCAGCCAAGUAGCGUGCAGGAUGACGGCCCUAUGGGUUGUAAACUGCUUUUAUACAGGAAUAAAGUUAGCCACGUGUGGUUAUUUGUAGGUACUGUAUGAAUAAGGACCGGCUAAUUCCGUGCCAGCAGCCGCCGUAA